Molecule: ribosomal RNA, 130 nt
Filed under: Drosophila silvestris
Lineage: Eukaryota; Metazoa; Arthropoda; Insecta; Diptera; Drosophilidae
Description: partial 28S ribosomal RNA
Source: RNAcentral
UUAAGAAGGACUUAAAUCGUUAAUUUCUCAUACUAGAAUAUUGAUGUUCCUUACACUGCAUCUCACAUUUGCCAUAUAGACAAAGUGACUUAGUGCUGAACUGAUUUCUUUUCGCUCGCCGCUACCGGGU